Molecule: long non-coding RNA, 353 nt
Filed under: Malus domestica (apple)
Lineage: Eukaryota; Viridiplantae; Streptophyta; Magnoliopsida; Rosales; Rosaceae
Description: long non-coding RNA (MDOM_LNC021036)
Source: RNAcentral
GUUUCAUUAGUUUUCUUUUAUUACAUUUUGUUAUACCAAACAUUGUUCCUGAUAGAUUUUCAAAAAUCUCUACAAGUUAUCAUGUGUGUUAUGAUGGAUAAAAUUGUAAUAGGAGAACAGUCAAAAUCGUAAUCGGAGAUUGAAUUUAACAAUCUUUUUGACGAGACAAUAAUACCAUAUAUACUUAAAAAAAGUUGAAUUGAAAUCCCAAUUUCCAACUGAGGUGUGAGGAGGAGGUUGGCCACUUGUUUUUUGUUUUUCUAUUUUCAUUUUCUGUUUGUCCAAAGGGGUAAAAAUAGGUUGUAGGAACAACAUACUAGGGUAAAAACACAAAUUAUGCAUUCGGGAUCUAU